Molecule: ribosomal RNA, 460 nt
Filed under: uncultured bacterium
Lineage: Bacteria
Description: partial 16S ribosomal RNA
Rfam family: Bacterial small subunit ribosomal RNA
Source: RNAcentral
CCUACGGGGGGCAGCAGUGAGGAAUAUUGGUCAAUGGGCUUACGCCUGAACCAGCCAAGUCGCGUGAGGGAAGACUGCCCUAUGGGUUGUAAACCUCUUUUGUCAGGGAGCAACGCCGGCUACGUGUAGCCGGACUGAGAGUACCUGAAGAAAAAGCAUCGGCUAACUCCGUGCCAGCAGCGGCGGUAAUACGGAGGAUGCAAGCGUUAUCCGGAUUUAUGGGGUUUAAAGGGUGCGUAGGCGGAAUGCCAAGUCAGCGGUAAAAUCGCGGGGCUCAACCUCGCUCCGACGUUGAAACUGGCGUUCUUGAGUGGGCGAGAAGUAUGCGGAAUGCGUGGUGUAGCGGUGAAAUGCAUAGAUAUCACGCAGAACUCCGAUUGCGAAGGCAGCAUACCGGCGCCCAACUGACGCUGAAGCACGAAAGCGUGGGUAUCGAACAGGAUUAGAUACCCCUGUAGUC